Long non-coding RNA from Triticum aestivum (bread wheat), 381 nucleotides. RefSeq lists it as uncharacterized. The record is from RefSeq and is a predicted model, not a curated record. Lineage: Eukaryota; Viridiplantae; Streptophyta; Magnoliopsida; Poales; Poaceae. The transcript is spliced from 2 exons.
CUCAGGUUGUUGAUCUCCUCUCUUGCAUGGGCAACUACAUCACUCUGCAUGAUGAAUUGAUGAUGGAGGUGGUGGCUGACAAAAAUUUCAUAUGCUGAUGAUACACGAAACUGCGGAAGGCUUGUGGCUUUGGAAGAGAGUGGUAGGCUAUUGUUUGCUGUGCACAGAAAUGGGUGGUGGCUGGUGUGCCUGGGUGAGGGUGAAGCGGGGGUUGUAGUCUGGGUGAUGGUGAUAUAUCUGGAUUAUGAUGAUGAUGAGGCUCACAGGAUGGAGCAUGGCAGUGCUAGUACCCUCUCCUGGACUCUAAUCUGGAGUGGUUUUUGUAUAUGAAGCAAUACUAGCAGGGAAUUCGCCUGUUUUUGUAUAUUGUUAAAUACUUUA